Molecule: ribosomal RNA, 447 nt
Filed under: uncultured bacterium
Lineage: Bacteria
Description: SSU rRNA
Rfam family: Bacterial small subunit ribosomal RNA
Source: RNAcentral
AGAACGAACGCUGGCGGCAGGCCUCAAACAUGCAAGUCUAGGGGGCGUAGCAAUACGUCACCGGCGGACGGGUGCGUAACACGUGGGAAUGUACUUAUUGGUUCGGAACAACUCAGGGAAACUUGAGCUAAUACCGAAUGUGCCCGUAAGGGGAAAGAUUUAUCGCCAAUAAAUCAGCCCGCGUCCGAUUAGCUAGUUGGUGGGGUAAAGGCUCACCAAGGCGACGAUCGGUAGCUGUUCUGAGAGGAAGAUCAGCCACACUGGGACUGAGACACGGCCCAGACUCCUACGGGAGGCAGCAGUUGGGAAUCUUGGACAAUGGGGGAAACCCUGAUCCAGCCAUGCCGCGUGAGUGAUGAAGGCCUUAGGGUUGUAAACUCUUUCGGCGGGGACGAUAAUGACGGUACCCGCAGAAGAAGCUCCGGCUAACUUCGCGCCAGCAGCCGC